AGAGUGAACGCUGGCGGUAGGCCUAACACAUGCAAGUCGAACGGCAGCACAGUAGGAGCUUGCUCUUACGGGUGGCGAGUGGCGGACGGGUGAGGAAUACAUCGGAAUCUACCUUUUGGUGGGGGAUAACGUAGGGAAACUUACGCUAAUACCGCAUACGCCCUUCGGGGGAAAGCCGGGGACCAGCAAUGGCCUGGUGCUGAUAGAUGAGCCGAUGUCGGAUUAGCUAGUUGGUGAGGUAAUGGCUCACCAAGGCGACGAUCCGUAGCUGGUCUGAGAGGAUGAUCAGCCACACUGGAACUGGAGACA
Molecule: ribosomal RNA, 309 nt
Filed under: uncultured soil bacterium
Lineage: Bacteria
Description: bacterial SSU rRNA
Rfam family: Bacterial small subunit ribosomal RNA
Source: RNAcentral